AUUGAACGCUAGCGGGAUGCUUUACACAUGCAAGUCGAACGGCAGCGCGAACUUCGGUUUGGCGGCGAGUGGCGAACGGGUGAGUAAUAUAUCGGAACGUACCCAGUAGCGGGGGAUAACUACUCGAAAGAGUAGCUAAUACCGCAUACGCCCUAAGGGGGAAAGGGGGGGAUCGCAAGACCUCUCACUAUUGGAGCGGCCGAUAUCGGAUUAGCUAGUUGGUGGGGUAAAGGCUCACCAAGGCGACGAUCCGUAGCUGGUUUGAGAGGACGACCAGCCACACUGGGACCGAGACACGGCCCAGACUCCUACGGGAGGCAGCAGUGGGGAAUUUUGGACAAUGGGGGAAACCCUGAUCCAGCCAUCCCGCGUGUGCGAUGAAGGCCUUCGGUUGUAAGCACUUUGGUCAGGAAAGAAAUACGCAUGGGUUAAUACUCUGUGUGGAUGACGGUACCAGCACAAGAAGCACCGGCUAACUACGUG
Molecule: ribosomal RNA, 483 nt
Filed under: uncultured bacterium
Lineage: Bacteria
Description: bacterial SSU rRNA
Rfam family: Bacterial small subunit ribosomal RNA
Source: RNAcentral